UACGUAGGCGGAAUAUUAAGUCAGUGGUGAAAUCCUGCAGCUUAACUGUAGAAUUGCCAUUGAUACUGAUCUUCUUGAAUUUAGUUGAGGUGGGCGGAAUGUGUAAUGUAGCGAUGAAAUGCUUAGAUAUUACACAGAACACCGAUUGCGAAGGCAGCUCACUAAACUAACAUUGACGCUAAGGUACGAAAGCGUGGGGAGCGAACAGGAUUAGAUACCCUGGUAGUC
RNAcentral lists this ribosomal RNA (228 nucleotides) under uncultured bacterium. Its description in RNAcentral is "partial 16S ribosomal RNA". It matches the Rfam family "Bacterial small subunit ribosomal RNA", at positions 568 to 795 of the family's 1533-position model. The record is from RNAcentral.